RNAcentral lists this ribosomal RNA (275 nucleotides) under uncultured bacterium. RNAcentral describes it as "partial 16S ribosomal RNA". It matches the Rfam family "Bacterial small subunit ribosomal RNA", at positions 158 to 449 of the family's 1533-position model. The record is from RNAcentral.
UUGUGCUAAUACCGGAUAAGUCUUUACGGAGAAAGCUUUAUGCGCCAAUGGAUGAGCCUGCACUUGAUUAGUUUGUUGGUGGGGUAAUGGCCUACCAAGACUGUGAUCAAUAGCUGAUUUGAGAGGAUGAUCAGCCACAUUGGGACUGAGCACGGCCCAAACUCCUACGGGAGGCAGCAGUAGGGAAUCUUGCACAAUGGAGGAAACUCUGAUGCAGCGAUGCCGCGUGAGUGAAGAAGGCCUUUGGGUUGUAAAGCUCUUUCGUCGGGGAAGAA